CCCGGUAAACGGCGGCCGUAACUAUAACGGUCCUAAGGUAGCGAAAUUCCUUGUCGGGUAAGUUCCGACCUGCACGAAUGGCGUAACGAUGGCCACACUGUCUCCUCCCGAGACUCAGCGAAGUUGAAGUGUUUGUGAUGAUGCAAUCUACCCGCGGCUAGACGGAAAGACCCCAUGAACCUUUACUGUAGCUUUGCAUUGGACUUUGAACCGAUCUGUGUAGGAUAGGUGGGAGGCUAUGAAACCGGAACGCUAGUUUCGGUGGAGCCGUCCUUGAAAUACCACCCUGGUUUGUUUGAGGUUCUAACCUUGGCCCGUGAUCCGGGUCGGGGACAGUGCAUGGUAGGCAGUUUGACUGGGGCGGUCUCCUCCCAAAGCGUAACGGAGGAGUACGAAGGUACGCUAGGUACGGUCGGAAAUCGUGCUGAUAGUGCAAUGGCAUAAGCGUGCUUAACUGCGAGACCGACAAGUCGAGCAGGUGCGAAAGCAGGUCAUAGUGAUCCGGUGGUUCUGUAUGGAAGGGCCAUCGCUCAACGGAUAAAAGGUACUCUGGGGAUAACAGGCUGAUACCGCCCAAGAGUUCAUAUCGACGGCGGUGUUUGGCACCUCGAUGUCGGCUCAUC
Molecule: ribosomal RNA, 623 nt
Filed under: Burkholderia cepacia
Lineage: Bacteria; Pseudomonadati; Pseudomonadota; Betaproteobacteria; Burkholderiales; Burkholderiaceae
Also listed under: 1 other name
Description: partial 23S ribosomal RNA
Rfam family: Bacterial large subunit ribosomal RNA
Source: RNAcentral